AUUUAAAUUAGAUAUAUGUAUUAAAAAUGUCAAAUGCGGAAGUGUAAUAAAAAUUUUGAUUAACAUCCCUUACACAAUAACCAAAACGUACUCAAAACAUGAAAGAACAAACUAACUAAAAGAGAUACUCGAGAUAUGAACUAUAAAUAUAACUAUGAAGUCUUUAGGCGUCCCCUUCGCCGUCUUCCUGCGGAACGGGCUCGGGAACAAUGUCUUCCUGAUCUGAAAUGGUUAAAUAAGGAAUGAGCUAUACCAGCCCAGUAAAGACAUCACACUAUCUCACCGUCACGGAAAUAAAGGUGGGUAGAAAACAAAAAUUACUAAUGGAGCAUAAUUUAUAACAAAUUCGUUUAUUAACAUAAAAACCUUUACUGUCCACUUACCUCGGUGAGAUCCAUGAAAACAACAUAUGAAAACAAUAACCUUAUAAUAUCAUGAAAUCAUACACACUUUAUAACAUAACACAUAUCAUACCUUUACAUUUCAAUCAUCAGAAAACAGAUUUCCUCUUUUACCAGCCUACUAGUAUCCCUGGGGAUCUAUAGGGGGUCCCCGCUACACGUGAACCAUUAACAUUUACAACCUGAUUCCAGGGCCGUCCCCAUACCCCGUCCGGUAUGGGCGCCAAAACCAUGAACCUCAAUACCCCGUCCGGUAUGAGGGUGAAACGGGCCGUCCACAUACCCCGUCCAGUAUGGGCGCCAAAACACAUAAGGUCUCCAUACUCCGUCCGAUAUGAGAGACCACGUCCUCGGUAGGGGUUCCCUACGGACCCGGUCCGUCCACCAUCUCCCAGGAUAUCUAGUCAGGCUGUCCACAUUAUCCAUUUAUCAAUUCACAUAACAUUUUUGCCCUUUUUCUUGGUUUCAAUCAUCCAAACACACACAACAUGUAAACCAGUAAUAGACACCAAACAAGACAACAUAGUAUCGGGUUAAGCAUAAUACCAACCAUAAUAAAAAAAACCAUAAUUCAUGCAUACGAGACCAUAAUAUAAUUAUAUCAAACAUCAUGCUGCAUUUAAUACUGAAAAUUAAAUCAAACAAUAACAGACCAACCCAGUAUCAGACUCAGGCUCCAUUAGCAACCUUAAUCAAUUAUACAUCUAUAAAGUCACACAGUACAGUUUAAUUAUUUAUUUGACUUCAAUACCGUGAUAGGAAAUAGGGUGAAAGGUCCUUACCUGUUUCGGGGUCUGAAUUUGACUCUACAGUGCGCCUAUAGGCUGAAACGCACUACUGGUACCUGCACGUGUCCCAAAAAAUCCCAAAUUAGACCUAGGGCCCCUUUCGGCCAAUAUCGCAAUUCCGGCACGGCAGCUCUGUCGUGCUCCGGCGACGGCGUGGCGGCGAUUCGCCUCGGGUUGGUCGUAUUCGACCGUUUUCGGCCAAAUUCAACCAUGCUUGCAUUGGUCCCUGCGAUAAAACAAUCCUAGGGCCUCGGUGGGAUGAAAAAUCACGAAAAACUGAAACUCAACGGCGGCGGUGCUCUCGGGUGCAGCGGCUCCUCCGGCAUGAGUCGCAUUUUGAUGUUUGGCUUCGAUUAACUUGUAGAGAAAACAACGGUGAUCACGGUGGUAUAAAAUUUGCAUCAAACGGAGGCCGGAAAAGGCUUCAUCGGAGGCAAAAAUCCAGGAGGGGCGCGGCGGCGCUGCUGAAUUUCGGCUGGGUUUUUCGGCCGUUAGGCUGGUGGUUUGGCUCCGAUUUUGCCAUAGGUGGACUCAGCAUCAAAAAAUGAGCAGGGAGGAGAAAAUUUACCUCGAUCGGCAGUCGGAAACUUCCCCGGUGCGGCGGCGGGUGGCGGCGGCUGGCUCCUCCGGUGUCUGGUUCUUCUUCUCCGACGAGGCACUGGCGGCUAGGGUUUUCUGGUCAGGUGUGGGUGGGGUUAUUUAUACUCUUUUCCUUUUAAUCUCAGCCGUUCAUCAAGAUUAAAUCUGGACCGUUCGAUCGCGAUUUAAUUGUGAUUAAAUCUGGGCCGUCGAUCGCGAUGCAAUCUAGGCCCUCCGUGCCUGAUUGAAUCUGGGCCGUCCGUGCACGUGAAUCUGGGCCGUCCGUGCACAUGUUUGAUCUAGGUCGUCCAUGCGCGCGGGAACGGAUCUGGGCCGUCCGAUUGCGCGCACGCGGAUCGCCCACAUCGCUCGUCCCCUGGUCAGUGUUUCCUUGCCACGCGGCGCGUCCUGGCUGGCCGGGGCUGCUGACCGGGCCGCUGACAUGGUUGCUGACGUGGUGCUGAUGUGGCAUAACUUUUUUAAAUUGUGUUUUGACCCCCGGUUU
Molecule: long non-coding RNA, 2273 nt
Filed under: Carica papaya (papaya)
Lineage: Eukaryota; Viridiplantae; Streptophyta; Magnoliopsida; Brassicales; Caricaceae
Description: long non-coding RNA (CPAP_LNC006633)
Source: RNAcentral